Molecule: ribosomal RNA, 460 nt
Filed under: uncultured bacterium
Lineage: Bacteria
Description: partial 16S ribosomal RNA
Rfam family: Bacterial small subunit ribosomal RNA
Source: RNAcentral
CCUACGGGUGGCAGCAGUGAGGAAUAUUGGUCAAUGGACGAGAGUCUGAACCAGCCAAGUAGCGUGAAGGAUGACUGCCCUAUGGGUUGUAAACUUCUUUUAUAUGGGAAUAAAACAGGGUGUGCAUACCCUCUUGUAUGUACCAUAUGAAUAAGGAUCGGCUAACUCCGGGCCAGAAGCCGCGGUAAUACGGAGGAUCCGAGCGUUAUCCGGAGUUAGUGGGUUUAAAGGGAGCGUAGGUGGAUUGUUAAGUCAGUUGUGAAAGUUUGCGGCUAAACCGUAAAAGUGCAGUUGAAACUGGCGGUCUGGAGUACAGUAGAGGGGGGCGGAAUUCGUGGUGUAGCGGUGAAAUGCGUAGAUAUCACGAAGAACUCCGAUUGCGAAGGCAGCUCACUGGACUGCAACUGACACUGAUGCUCGAAAGUGUGGGGAUCAAACAGGAUGAGAUACCCGGGUAGUC